AUCCAGCUGACGAGUCUCAAAUAGGACGAGAGAUGACUCUUGGAU
This is a non-coding RNA of Schistosoma rodhaini, 45 nucleotides long. The record is from Rfam. Lineage: Eukaryota; Metazoa; Platyhelminthes; Trematoda; Strigeidida; Schistosomatidae.